AUCACUUCUUGGCCUUUUGGCUAAGAUCAAGUGUAGUAUCUGUUCUUACCAAUUUACAAGUCUUUAUAAGAUGUUGGCAUUGUGGUAUAGCUGGUAAAGCCACCGCCUGCAGUGCCAGCAUCCCAU
Oryctolagus cuniculus (rabbit) is the source of this 126-nucleotide small nuclear RNA. Its record names the gene U2. It matches the Rfam family "U2 spliceosomal RNA". Rfam says of the family: U2 is a small nuclear RNA (snRNA) component of the spliceosome (involved in pre-mRNA splicing). Complementary binding between U2 snRNA (in an area lying towards the 5' end but 3' to hairpin I) and the branchpoint sequence (BPS) of the intron results the bulging out of an unpaired adenosine, on the BPS, which initiates a nucleophilic attack at the intronic 5' splice site, thus starting the first of two transesterification reactions that mediate splicing. NCBI's taxonomy places the organism in Eukaryota, Metazoa, Chordata, Mammalia, Lagomorpha, Leporidae. The record is from Ensembl.